GGGGAGGAGGAGGAGGAGGGGGACGACUUGGGGAGAGGAGGAGGAGUGGGAAAGGGGGAGGAGAAGGAGAGAGAUGUCUACUCUGUCGUGUCACCAUGGGGAUGGCGAUGUAGUACACAUAGACUGGUGAGGUAGUACACAUGGAAUCAGCAUGACUAAUGGAAUCAGGAUGUUGACUUUGUAACAAAGUGAAAGAGACGCUAUAGCAACGCUGUAACGACGCUAUAGCAACGCUGUAACGACGCUAUAGCAGCGCUGUAACAACGCUAUAGCAACGCUGUAACGACGCUAUAGCAACGCUGUAAUGACGCUAUAGCAACGCUGUAACGACGCUAUAGCAACGCUGUAAUAAUGCUGAAGCAGAGCUAUAGCAAUGUCCACGCUACAUACUGAGAACACAAAUACAUCUGCUGAGAAAACACCUUCAUGUGCUGACUGACUGUCUGUCUGUUUGACUGUCUGACUGACUGUCUGUCUGUUUGACUGUCUGACUGACUGUCUGUCUGUCUGGAUGUCUGUCUGUUUGACUGUCUGUCUGGAUGUCUGUCUGGAUGUCUGUCUGACUGCUGGGAUGUCAGAGAGAGACAGGUUGGAUCAGGCAGGGUGCUGGGAUGUCAGAGAGACAGGUUGGACCAGGCAGGGGGCUGGGAAGUCAGAGAGAGACAGGUUGAACCAGGCAGGGUGCUGGGAUGUCAGAGAGACAGGUUGGACCAGCCGUGACAUGAUCGUAGCCUAGCCUCAUCUCCUAUGAGAUCUCCAGUCAUAAAGGAAGCAGCCUUCCCAGAGCACCACUACCUACCUACAGCCCUACCAGAGCAGUACUACCUACC
This 830-nucleotide long non-coding RNA is filed under the name Salmo salar (Atlantic salmon). RNAcentral describes it as "lncRNA (ENSSSAG00000118895.1)". The record is from RNAcentral. Lineage: Eukaryota; Metazoa; Chordata; Actinopteri; Salmoniformes; Salmonidae.